GAUGAAGAACGUAGCGAAAUGCGAUAAGUAAUGUGAAUUGCAGAAUUCAGUGAAUCAUCGAAUCUUUGAACGCACAUUGCGCCCCCUGGUAUUCCGGGGGGCAUGCCUGUCCGAGCGUCAUUACAACCCUCAAGCUCAGCUUGGUGUUGGGCCCCGCCGCCCCGGCGGGCCCUAAAGUCAGUGGCGGUGCCGUCCGGCUCCGAGCGUAGUAAUUCUUCUCGCUCUGGAGGUCCGGUCGUGUGCUCGCCAGCAACCCGCAAUUUUUUUCAGGUUGACCUCGGAUCAGGUAGGGAUACCCGCUGAACUUAAGCAUAUCAAUAAGCGGAGGA
RNAcentral lists this unclassified non-coding RNA (329 nucleotides) under soil metagenome. Its description in RNAcentral is "partial contains 5.8S ribosomal RNA, internal transcribed spacer 2, and large subunit ribosomal RNA". The stretch from base 1 to 120 matches the Rfam family "5.8S ribosomal RNA", at positions 35 to 154 of the family's 154-position model. The record is from RNAcentral.